GACGAACGCUGGCGGCAUGCCUAACACAUGCAAGUCGAACGAUUGCCUUCGGGUGAUAGUGGCGCACGGGUGCGUAACGCGUGGGAAUCUGCCCUUAGGUUCGGAAUAACAGCUGGAAACGGCUGCUAAUACCGGAUGAUAUCGCGAGAUCAAAGAUUUAUCGCCUAAGGAUGAGCCCGCGUUGGAUUAGGUAGUUGGUGGGGUAAAGGCCUACCAAGCCGACGAUCCAUAGCUGGUCUGAGAGGAUGAUCAGCCACACUGGGACUGAGACACGGCCCAGACUCCUACGGGAGGCAGCAGUGGGGAAUAUUGGACAAUGGGCGCAAGCCUGAUCCAGCAAUGCCGCGUGAGUGAUGAAGGCCCUAGGGUUGUAAAGCUCUUUUACCCGGGAAGAUAAUGACUGUACCGGGAGAAUAAGCCCCGGCUAACUCCGUG
Molecule: ribosomal RNA, 435 nt
Filed under: uncultured bacterium
Lineage: Bacteria
Description: partial 16S ribosomal RNA
Rfam family: Bacterial small subunit ribosomal RNA
Source: RNAcentral